Molecule: transfer RNA, 72 nt
Filed under: Bos taurus (domestic cattle)
Lineage: Eukaryota; Metazoa; Chordata; Mammalia; Artiodactyla; Bovidae
Also listed under: 1 other name
Rfam family: tRNA
About the family: Transfer RNA (tRNA) molecules are approximately 80 nucleotides in length. Their secondary structure includes four short double-helical elements and three loops (D, anti-codon, and T loops).
Source: Rfam by way of RNAcentral
UCCCUUGUGGCUCAGAUGGUAGAGCAUCUGACUACGAUGCGGGAGACUCAGGUUCGAUCCCUGGGUUGGGAA